RNAcentral lists this ribosomal RNA (703 nucleotides) under uncultured bacterium. RNAcentral's name for it is "bacterial SSU rRNA". It matches the Rfam family "Bacterial small subunit ribosomal RNA", at positions 777 to 1494 of the family's 1533-position model. The record is from RNAcentral.
AUUAGAUACCCUGGUAGUCCACACGGUAAACGAUGAAUACUCGCUGUUUGCGAUAUACAGCAAGCGGCCAAGCGAAAGCGUUAAGUAUUCCACCUGGGGAGUACGCCGGCAACGGUGAAACUCAAAGGAAUUGACGGGGGCCCGCACAAGCGGAGGAACAUGUGGUUUAAUUCGAUGAUACGCGAGGAACCUUACCCGGGCUUAAAUUGCAGAUGAAUUACGGUGAAAGCCGUAAGCCGCAAGGCAUCUGUGAAGGUGCUGCAUGGUUGUCGUCAGCUCGUGCCGUGAGGUGUCGGCUUAAGUGCCAUAACGAGCGCAACCCUUGUUGUCAGUUACUAACAGGUUCCGCUGAGGACUCUGACAAGACUGCCAUCGUAAGAUGUGAGGAAGGUGGGGAUGACGUCAAAUCAGCACGGCCCUUACGUCCGGGGCUACACACGUGUUACAAUGGGGGGUACAGAGGGUCGCUACCACGCGAGUGGAUGCCAAUCCCCAAAACCUCUCUCAGUUCGGACUGGAGUCUGCAACCCGACUCCACGAAGCUGGAUUCGCUAGUAAUCGCGCAUCAGCCACGGCGCGGUGAAUACGUUCCCGGGCCUUGUACACACCGCCCGUCAAGCCAUGAAAGCCGGGGGCGCCUGAAGUCCGUGACCGCGAGAGGCGGCCUAGGGUGAAACCGGUGAUUGGGGCUAAGUCGUAACAA